UCCGAGAUAGCUCAGCUGGCAGAGCUCGCGAUUGUUAAUCGCGCGGUCGGUGGUUCGAUCCCACCUCUCGGAGC
RNAcentral lists this transfer RNA (74 nucleotides) under Microbacterium phage Hendrix. RNAcentral describes it as "tRNA-Asn". It matches the Rfam family "tRNA". Rfam says of the family: Transfer RNA (tRNA) molecules are approximately 80 nucleotides in length. Their secondary structure includes four short double-helical elements and three loops (D, anti-codon, and T loops). Lineage: Duplodnaviria; Heunggongvirae; Uroviricota; Caudoviricetes. The record is from RNAcentral.